RNAcentral lists this ribosomal RNA (431 nucleotides) under uncultured bacterium. Its description in RNAcentral is "bacterial SSU rRNA". It matches the Rfam family "Bacterial small subunit ribosomal RNA", at positions 29 to 507 of the family's 1533-position model. The record is from RNAcentral.
AACGAACGCUGGCGGCAGGCUUAACACAUGCAAGUCGAACGCCCCGCAAGGGGAGUGGCAGACGGGUGAGUAACGCGUGGGAACGUACCUUUCAGUUCGGAAUAACUCAGGGAAACUUGUGCUAAUACCGGAUACGCCCGCAAGGGGAAAGAUUUAUCGCUGAAAGAUCGGCCCGCGUUGGAUUAGCUAGUUGGUGGGGUAAAGGCCUACCAAGGCGACGAUCCAUAGCUGGUCUGAGAGGAUGAUCAGCCACACUGGGACUGAGACACGGCCCAGACUCCUACGGGAGGCAGCAGUGGGGAAUCUUGCGCAAUGGGGGCAACCCUGACGCAGCCAUGCCGCGUGAAUGAUGAAGGCCUUAGGGUUGUAAAGUUCUUUUGCCCGUGACGAUGAUGACGGUAACGGGAGAAUAAGCUCCGGCUAACUUCGUG